Zalophus californianus (California sea lion) is the source of this 11744-nucleotide RNA transcript. It is a transcript of the gene named ganglioside induced differentiation associated protein 2, with no coding region annotated. The transcript is spliced from 15 exons. NCBI's taxonomy places the organism in Eukaryota, Metazoa, Chordata, Mammalia, Carnivora, Otariidae. The record is from RefSeq and is a predicted model, not a curated record.
AGUCAGUGUUUCGCCACUCAAAGCUUUUGCAGCUGGUCACUCCAGCCUCCUGGGACUUUGACUCGCCUGACCGCCGAGCUCCUGGCCAAGGGUGUCCGGGGAUGCCGCUCGGACGCUUUCUACGAGGAGCUUAACCCACCCUGCUGCCCGCCCGGAUGGGACCGCCGGAGUGCUCUAAAGUCUGCCGUGAAUAUUGAAUUGCUGAGGAAUUUGGGGAAAGACAAGCUGAAGUUCCCAUUCCAUGGAUCCCUUGGGUGCACCUUCCCAGUUUGUGGAUGUGGAUACACUACCAAGCUGGGGCGACUCGUGGGAAGAUGAAUUAGAUACUUCUGAUACUGCAGCUGAAACGUUUCAGGAAAACACUAUUAGAUCACCUUUUCUUUACAAUAAGAAUAUCAAUGGGAAAGUGGUUCUUUGGAAAGGAGAUGUAGCAUUACUGAACUGUACAGCCAUUGUGAAUACGAGCAAUGAAAAUCUUACAGAUAAGAACCCUGUGUCAGAGAGUAUCUUCAUGCUCGCAGGACCUGAUUUGAAGGAGGAUCUCCACAAACUUAAGGGUUGCCGGACAGGUGAAGCCAAAUUGACGAAAGGAUUUAAUCUAGCUGCCCGGUUCAUCAUCCACACAGUGGGACCUAAAUACAAGAGCCGCUACCGUACUGCUGCUGAGAGUUCCCUGUACAGCUGCUACAGAAACGUGCUUCAGCUGGCCAAAGAGCAAUCAAUGUCUUCUGUGGGAUUCUGUGUCAUCAAUUCUGCAAAACGAGGUUAUCCUUUAGAGGAUGCAACACACAUAGCACUUCGCACUGUAAGGAGAUUCCUAGAAAUUCAUGGGGAGACCAUUGAAAAAGUAGUAUUUGCUGUCUCUGAACUAGAAGAGGCUACUUACCAAAAGCUGCUACCUCUGUACUUCCCAAGGUCACUAAAGGAGGAAUGUCGAUCAUUGCCAUACCUACCUGCAGAUAUUGGAAAUGCAGAAGGGGAGCCUGUGGUACCUGAACGACAGAUUAGAAUAAGUGAAAAACCUGGUGCCCCGGAGGACAGCCAAGAAGAGGAGGCUGAAGGCUUGGGAGUUGACCUCUCUUUCAUCGGCUCUCAUGCUUUUGCUCGAAUGGAAGGAGAUAUUGACAAGCAAAGAAGACUGAUCCUUCAGGGACAGUUAUCAGAGGCAGCCUUGCAGAAGCAGCAUCAAAGAAAUUAUAAUCGCUGGUUAUGUCAAGCAAGAUCUGAGGAUCUAUCUGAUAUUGCUUCUCUAAAAGCCUUGUACCAAACAGGUGUUGAUAACUGUGGUCGCACUGUGAUGGUGGUAGUUGGAAGAAACAUUCCUGUCACAUUAAUAGACAUGGACAAGGCUCUCUUAUAUUUUAUCCAUGUAAUGGAUCACAUUGCUGUGAAGGAAUAUGUAUUAGUAUAUUUUCACACACUGACCAGCGAAUACAAUCACCUGGACUCUGACUUCCUGAAGAAACUCUAUGAUGUUGUUGAUGUCAAAUACAAGAGGAAUUUGAAGGCUGUUUAUUUUGUUCAUCCAACAUUUCGUUCAAAGGUAUCAACAUGGUUUUUUACCACCUUUUCUGUCUCAGGACUGAAGGACAAAAUCCACCAUGUGGACAGCCUCCACCAGCUAUUCUCUGCCAUAUCACCAGAACAGAUUGACUUUCCUCCUUUUGUCCUUGAAUAUGAUGCCAGGGAAAAUGGGCCUUACUAUCCAUCUUACCCCCCGUCACCAGAUUUGUGACCUGCCGUCUUUUAGUGCUACUGGUUUCCAAGGACGUCACUUUCUCCACGGAUCGCUACCUAUUGAAGUGAAAUUCAUUUUUGCUGUUCAGAUCCAGAGAGCCUUUUGUCCCCACCUCUCUGUUGCACUUGCUCAGCCAAGUUCCAGGGAGGACCAGAGUUCAAGAGUUAGCAGCAGAGGUUAUCAAUCAACUUAAAGUUUGGUAAGUGAAGCCCAGACAUGCUGCACAGUUGUUUUCUUUGUAGAGCACUUAGUACAAGACCAAAACUACGAGUUGCUAACAUUUCCUUGUUGAAUCCAUCCUGUUGCUAUGGAAAAUGCUGUCCUAGAAAAUUCAAUUUGGAGCCUCACAUAACUCCCAUGAAAAUUACACAGGAAGUGAGAAAAAGGCAAGGGUGCCAUUUUUUUUUAGUUCACAGUAGUGGAAUGCAUUGCACAGGGUAAGACCACUCUGCAUCUAGGAUUUUUCGUUUAUUUUUAUGUUUAUAAUUUAUUGUGACAUGUACCAAAAUCAAAUUGUAAUAUAAUACCACCCUAUAUUAUAUUUUUUGGAUAUAAAAGCUCUCAUGACUAUGCCUAUUUCUAUUCUAAUUUUGUGGAGUAUAUCCUUUUUUGGUAUGUUCAUCUUUUAAUUUUCUCUUUAUUUUUUUUAGCAGCUUUGUUUGAAAAGUAACUCACAUAUCAUAAAAUUCACCCAUUUAAAAGUGCAUAGUUCAGUGGUUUUUAGUAUGCUCGGUGUUGUACAGCUGUCACCACUAUUUACUUUUACAACAUUUUCAACACCCCAGAUGGAAGCCCCACACCCGUUAUCAGUCAUUCCCCAUUCCCACUGUCCUCCACCCUCCCUCCUGUGUUGUUUGGGCUUUACUGCAGUAUGUCCUCCUUCUAAGACACAUCUCCAAGUUGCACUUAUUAGGAGAACAGUGUAUCAAUAAAUAUUUGUUGAAUGAAUUGAUACCCACAUAAGUCACUAGCCAUGGGUAGCAACUGAAGAGUAAUUGGAAGGGCCGUGGAAUAGAUGUCAAAAGACUAGAUUCAAAUCCUGACUGAUGCUUACUUACUAGUCGUGUUGUUCUGGGAAUGGAGUCACUUAGCGCUUCGAAGGCUUAGUUUUCAUAUCUAUAAAAUGUUGCUAGCAAUAUCUGCUUCAUCGGAUGGUUGUGAGAAUCACCUGAGAAAAUAUGACCACAACACUUGGCACAGUACCUGGCCCACACUAAGAAAGGAAUUGCCAUUUGUUCCUGAAUGACAGAGAAACACCUGGGUUGGUGACCAGGUGAAACACCUGCGGCCACAUUUCUCUAAUGUCUAAUCUGGCAGCAAGUGUGUCCCCUGGUCACCAACCUCAGGGUUCAAAGUAGUGGCGUAGUCCUUUCCUAUGGCUCAAUCUUCCCAGUUUCCUUCCUCACAAAAGAGAAUUCUGGAGUAUAACUUACAACUGCUUAUUCUCUCUUAACCUCCCAACUGCUGCCUCCCCGUUUCCUGUCCAGCAUGAUACCUGCUUCCUCUGCACAUGCUGAUGUUGAUUCUCAUGUAGGGCCCACACUUUGUACAGAAGCAAGCACUGUCCAUCAGCUGUGAAGAACUGGCCCCUCAUCCCAACUUCAGCAGCCUUUAUUUGCACCUUUCCUUCACUGUGGGUCAGAAACCCUCUCCAGGAGAAAAAGCUGCCUAAUUUAGGCAACUGGCAGCCUCGGACUGCUUGCUGGGCCUUUCAGGGACAAGGGAACAUAUUUAACGAUCUUCUCUCAUAGCUGCCACCUCCCCCUACUUCCAGAGUUGCCUUAGAAGAUUUGCCACCCACUCAUCUUACAAAUAGUAAUGAAAUAGUAGGAGGUAUCAUUUCAGGACACCAGGCAUUGUAAAUAUAUUAUCUCUAAUUCUUACAGUAAACGUGCAAGCUAGGUAUUUUCCCCAUUUAAUGGAAGAAAAAGAAGAAUCUUGGAGAAGUAAAGAAACUAGCCACAAGGUAAUUUUAGGGAAUAGGUUUUGGAAAGGCAGAGAAGAUUGGGUAAAUCUACCUAUACAGAGUUUCUUACUUACUUACAUUAUAUGGCUUUAGUCUGGUAUAUAAAAGCAUAGCAUAGGCUUCGAUUCAAAUCCCAGCUCAGCCGUUUACUAGCUAUGUGACCUGGACAUGUUUCCCAACCUCUUUGAAUUUCAGCUCUCUCAUAUGUAAAGAGUACUUACCUUUUAGAAUUAUUGCGAGGACCAAAUGACUUCAUACUUCUGAAAGUCUCAAAAAUACUAGCUAUUGUCUUAUUUAAAUAUUCUAAUUGCUGUGAUCAAACUGUCUCACUUUCUGGACUUAUCAGUUACACUUGGCUCUUUAAAUUAUGCCACAUCCCCAAUUCAGAGGUUGUAUGAUGUAUUUGGUAUGUCUCUCCUUCAAGAGAAAAUACAUUUUAAAGCAGGGUUGGCAAACUUUUUUGGUAAAGGGCCAGAUCAUAAAUAUUUUAGGCUUUUCAGGCCAUACGGUUUCUGUCACAGCCAUUCAGCUCUGCUGCUGUAGCAUGAAAACAGCCACAGAUAGUACUUGAGCAAAUGGGCGGGCCUGUGUUCCAGUAAGACUUUAUUUAUGGAGACUGGAAUUUAAAGUUCAAAUGAUUUUUUCAAGUAUAACAAAACACUAUUUCCUUUGUUUUCAACCGUUUAAAACUAUAAAAAGCUACACUUAGCUUGAGGGCCGUAUAAAAAUAGGCAGUGGGCCAUAGUUUGCCAACCCCUGUUUUAAAUAAAUAAUUCAGUGGUUCUUUAAAGCUGUUGAAUCCAGCAGAGGCCUAGUUAAGGAAAGGAAUGUGGAGGAAGAAAAUCAAGAGCCAGUCAACCUAUCAACUAGCUAGCCCAGAGCAUAGCCGUGUUGAUCACUCCCUUGCCUAACCUGUGUGUAACCGCUUUACACUUAACAUUUUUACCUAUAAAAAUGAGGUGCUGAUAGCUGUCUGACCUCUACCUACUUCCUCCUGGUGACAGGAGUUCAAAUAUUAUUUAUUGAAUUUAUGCCUUUGUGCUAGAUAGUUGAAUCAUUUUUAUUCUUACCCUCUUAUUCCUACUUCACAGAUGAAGAAAUGGAGGCUCAGAGAGGCAGAUUACCUGCUUAUACAAUACCAGUAUCUAAACCCUGGUAUCUGAUUCCCAUAAACCCUCCCAGCCCUCUCAAUAGAAUACAGACUCCUUAAGAAUAGGGACCUCACUGGAUUCGUUCUGUGCUAUAUCCCCAGUGCCUAGACUAGUAACUGGUAUAUAAGAGGCAGUGCGUAAAUGUUUGUGGAAUGAAUGAAUGGAUGAAUGAAUGUUUCCAUUAUGCCAGCGUUUCUUAAUCUUUUCAUAGGUAGGGACGCCUCUGAGAAACAAUUUAACGGUCUGGACCAUCUCUCCAGAUAAAUCUCAAAUUAAGACACCUUAUGUUAAGUAUUUGGCAAACUAUUGAAAGAAGAUGCUAUUCACAUACUCUGAACAAUAUAACUCUUCUCAUAAGCAUGGAAACAGGAUUUGGAGAUGUCUUAUUUCUCUCCUUUUCCUUAAAUCAUGAUAUUAAGGACACUAAACAAGACCUAAAAUGUUUUCUUCUCUAUAGGCACUCAUAGCUCCCAGACAUACUUCUUAAAACUCUUGAUUCCCUUACAAGUCACUUUCUCAAAAAUUACUUAAAAAUGACUUUUAUUGGACCCAAGUGCUUCAAUAUGAAAAGUAAGAAACCACAGCCUAUUAGGACUAACAUGCAAUUUUUUGUCUUCAGAAAUACAGUUGCAAGGGAAAUACCCACUUUUCACCGCCUAGAGGCCAACCAAAUCUGAAACUCAUAUGUUACUCGGGAUGGAUGGGCCUUCUGGCUGCUUCUACUUCUUGUCAUUUACUGAGGACCUUACAUUCCAUACCAUGGUCUCUCGUUAAGACAGUGAGAGAGGGUUAUUAUGAGAGAGACAUUAAAUUCAGAUGUUACUAAUUUUUAUUUUCCCCUCUAAAGCAUCUGUUGUUUACAUACCCUCAUCCUUUACAUCAGGACCUUGAGAUCAUGACUCACUUCAGGUAAACAGUAAGAAUAAGGGUAUUUUGUUUUCACAGAAUGCUGUAAAAACAAAGGCUGUUGCUUAUGGAGACUUAAAAAAAUAUUCAGGUACUUCAUUCACUUGCUACUCCCUUUUCACUCUCUUUACUGCAUCUCCCCCCCACCCCCCCACCCCCCGCCAAAGAAGUUCCAUUCUAAAACAAGUAUUCUCUCAUGUUUCUGGGACAAGGCACUCCAUUCACACUUUGGCCAUGUUGUGCCAUUUAAGUUUUCCCAUGGCACUUAUUCCCAGGGCUGAUAUUCAGCCACACCAAUUGUUAAAGGUACUGAAAUACUUCCAUACAAGAUGAGGAACAGCUGCUAUCCUGAGCCUUCCAAAUGCCCUUUACUAUCCCCACCCUUCCCCCAGUUUCCCUGGUUCUCCACACAAUCUAAAGGGUCAAUGCCACCUACCUUUCCAGAACCCUGCUCCAAGCCUACGGCCAGCACUCUUCUGAUUGGUCCAUGCCCGUGCCACACCACUUUAAAUACCACAUUGUUGACGUAUCCGUAUAUGCAUGUAUGAAUAACUAGGGACAUGGACCUUUCUGUUUCAUUCAUUACAGUAUUCUUAAUGUCUCCUUGAACAGCUCCUGACAUGCACAAGACUUUUAAAUAAUAGCUAAAACAAAAAAUAUAGUGUGUUUAUGCUUAUGGUGUCAAAGAAGUAAGAGCUGAAGCAAGAGAACCACUUGAUCAGUCGGGAUUGGGGAACUACUUGAUAAGUCGUAUGAGCAGGAAAGACAUAGGAGUUAAGAGGAUCCCUAUAUAAUAACUUUUUUAUGGACAUCCAGAUGAUCUUUGGUUAGCAGUCUUGCUUCACAACAUUAACACUUAAUAUAUUAUUUGCUUUUUCCAGGAAGGUUGAAUAUAAGUGAGGAUUGGAUUUCAGGUCCCAAAUUGCCUCAUUGAAGACCAAAUAUGAGACCAGGAGGUAGAAACUAAUCUUAGACUAAGCCAACAAGGUGUGGAAGCCUGUGGGAAGGCUCUGAGGUGACGAGGUAAUGCUGCUGAGGAAGUUUUGUGCAGUCUUCUGUGAUGGAAGAGAUGGAGUCACCCAUAGAACGAGCCUGAAAGCCUAAGUGGCCAGAGCUGUUCCUGUUUCCUGACAGCUGCCCUCCCCCCGCGCACAGACACACAGUGGGCACUGGUGGAUGCUUACUACCUACCCACUGAGCUAGUCUCAGGCAAAGCUCCACUACGCAAACCUGGGCACCGUUGUCAGAAUGCCUCUCUUGUCAGGCUAGGAGACAGACACACGCAUUUCACAUCACCUCAGCAGAGUCCAAAAAAUUCAAGUGUGGUGCAUUAUUAAGAAUUCCCUAACACUUCCUACCUUUCCUUAAUAGCUUACCUGUGAAUGUCCCUGAACUUCUGAAGCUAUUCCAAGCCUAUGCCAUCUGUUACUUUUUAUUUUUACUCUGUGAGAUAUACUCUUCCAUUUGUUCCAAAUUUGUCUUUUUUCAGUGUUCAAGGGAUACCUGCUAAACCUAGCAUUUUAUAAUUUGGUGAUUAUUUAGUACCACACUCCUCUCCUUAAUGUCUCCUCUCUUUAUGUAAUCAUCCCCAGAUGAAAGUAGUUCUUCAGUAGGCCCCGCGUGCUUGGGGGGACUGCCAGGCACCCAGAUGCUAACUGUAAACUGCCUCUUGGGUUCAUUACUCUUCCCCAUCACACCAAAGAGGUUCUGUGUUUUCUUCCUCAUGACAGCAAAAUAAUUGAGGUGGAACAAGGUGCCUUCUCGUUUCAGCUCUCAUGCUGUAAACAAGUUUCCCGUUUCUGGUUCAUUUGGUGCCAUGUGUUUUGCAUUUUUGUUCUUUGUUGAUUCCUCUGUUUAAGAUGGUUCCUGGUGUAGCGCUAAAGUGCUAUCUAGUAUUCCCAAAAGCAAGAAGGCUGCGAUGUUCCUUAUGGAAGAAAUAAAUGGGCUAGAUAAGCUUCAUUCAGGCAUGAGUUGUACAGUGCCGUUGGCCAUGAGUGCAGUGUUAGUGAGUCAACCAUAUAAGGGACCUUUAAACAGGAACAUACGGAAAACAAAGUUGUGGAUUGAUUGGCUGAUGAAAAUGUUUUGGCCCAGAGGUUCAAAGAACCUCAUAUUGUAUUUCUCCCUGGAACAGUGUUUCAGGAUUCAUUGACUUAGUGUUCCCAGCAACUUUACAGAACGUAACUACCACAAAUAGAAUAAGAAUCAAUUGCAGUUGUGAGCAACUGAACCUACACUACUGCAUUUGUCCUACUAAAGAGUUAAUAGGCACAAGUUUACUGCUUCCUCAGAAAACACCUGUUAAGCAGCUACCCCGCACUGGGCUGUGGGAAUACAGUCUUGCACAAGAGGGUCAUAGUCCUUAACUUCAUGCAUCUUAUAGCCUGGUAGGGACAUUAAAUUUUAAAAUGUUCUUACAAGCGUGCAGGACAGGUGUGAAUCUGAUAUUAAUGACCAAUUCUAUCACAACAGGGGAUGGACAAAAUCCUUAGCCAGAAGGGACUAGGCAAAUGUCUGUUCUAUCAGUUCUUGCCCACCUAUUCUGUCAGUCCUCCUAUGUGCACUAAAAUGUAAUCAGCUACCUGAAAGUUCCUCUUCACUCAGUCGGGAUCCUGGGAGAAUCUUGAUAGGGAACAAAUUAAUAGGUCUUUCCCCACUCAUAAGAGAGGUCUGGAAAGAGCCUUAGUCCAAGUGCUGCAAAAAGGUUAUGUUUGGGAUACUACCUGAUCACAGCUGCAGCUGCUUACAUCACUGUAAUGAGAAUGACCAUGGCGUCCUCCUGGGCUGAGCAGGGAAAAGUGCUGGAAUCUCAUAAUCACAGCUGCUGUGCUUUGUAUUUGCCUAACCCACCACGGCUGCCCUAUAUGUGAUACUUGAAUGUCUGGAAGCACAUAGAAUCAUUGAUCCACUUACUGCAUGGUGAUAAAUAUAUAGACUUUCUACUUAAUCAGGGCUAGACUGAGAUUCUAAACUCUUUGCUGUGCACUGUUUUCCAUAUGAUUCUCAGAAUCUUCCUUGUCCAAAAUGUCCUGUGUCUCACUCCGCAAUCUUUAAAUACUAACAUCUGCCCUUUGAGCUUGUUUUGGGACCACACUGAGCACAAGCCCAUCCUCAGAAAGGGAGCCACCAACUCUCCACCUAAAUUUGUGAUGACUCAGUCCCUGCUAACCCUUCCCUCUUCCAGCAGAAUGUCAUCAAGAGGCUAAUACAUGAUUUAUGAGAGCCUCAUGCUCAUCUAGAUCCUUUCUCAUCAUGGCGGCUGUCUGUAUCAUCCAUCCUCUUGUCGUGAUCCAGGAUGAUGUGGGACCCCCUCCAGUCUGCUAGAGACUGAUGACCUUUGGUUAUAGCAACUAAUCUCAGAGGUUAUUUGUCACUGUGAGCAGUUGCUCUAAGUUCAAGCUUUAAAAUGUAGAAUCUUCAAAAAAAAAAAAGAAUCUUCAGCAGCUAUAUUUCUAUUGCUGCAGCCAUUUCUCUACCUAUAUGCUACUUGGGAAAUCCUUGUAGUAAUCAGAUUGACCAGUGUUAGCCAGUUGUGCAAAUAGGGCUUUGGAUGUCGCCUGCUACAUAAUAUUUUCUUUGCAUUUCUGCAAUAACAAGAGUUUUAUUAAGCCCUAGGUGGGUUUUGUUGAAAGACAAAAAACUUCCCAUCUAGACUGUACACUCGAGGAGGGCACAGUAUGUGGUAUCUGUUUUGAGCACCACAGUAUUCACCAUCCUGAGCACAAUACCUGUGCCAAAUGUGUAUUUUUUGUUUCACUGACUAAUUAGGCUAAGUGCCAUCUUGGAUUCUCACAUUAAUUGGAAGCUCUGCCUUUUAUAGUUAACUUCUGGACAUGACAUUAUAAACAUGUACUCCUUAACUACACUACAUUUUAAAAAAUAGCCUACUUACUGCUGGGGUAUGGGCACUAUUUAACUGUCUCACACCCAUUUUUAUGUUUCUUGUUCGUUUUUGUUAUUUUUUACUUUAUACUAUAAUAUCAUGAAAAGCAAGUAGGCCUGUAUCUACAGAGACAUGCAUUACAGCUGGAGAAGGGAAGAAGAAGAGGAGGCAGGACAAUCAGUCUUUUCUUGUUUCCAUAUCUAAAUAGCUGAAUGACGUUUGGUAUCAAAUGAGUUACUUGCAAAGAAGAUAUAAAAGAUGUAUGUAUUUUUAUCAAAAAUGCAUGCUUUGGCAAAUGAGAGAGUGUCUGUCCCAGUUUAGAAAGAAAGGCCUGAUAGUGUGCUAUGAUUUAAGGUUUGAAGAUUCUUUUUCUUCUUGUUUUCCUUGUUUAUACCACUUCACUUCGUAGAGUGUUGCAGAAAGAACAUAGGCUCUAGGAUUAGAAAAACUGGGUUUGAACCUUGGCUUCUCAGUUUUCUUACCCAUCUGGCUAUCUCUGGGCCUUAUGCUUGUCUUUUUUUUUUUUUUUUAAGAUUUUAUUUAUUUAUUCGAGAGAGAGAGAGCGCACACACACACGCGCACGACCCUGGGAGCAGGGGCAAAGGGAGAGGGAAAGAAUCUCAAGCCAACUCCACACUGAGCGCAAGCCCAACGCGAGGCUCCAUCUCACAACCCUGAGAUCAUGACCAGAGCCGAAACCAAGAGUCAGAGGCUUGACCACCUGAGCCACUGAGGCCCCCCUGGGCCUUAUGCUUGUGUUAUAGUUAUGCUGCAUCACCUCAAAAUGUAGCUGAAGGUAAAUUAUGAACUAGAAAGCGCAAUAUCUGACUAGAAAUAAUAUCAUCGUCACAUCCUUUAUAUAUCAAGAUUAACCCCCUGACUCUGGAUGUUGUAAGAAUUUGCCAGAAUUACAUCUUUUAAGAAAGGCUUCUGCUCACCCAAAUGUAAUAUAAUAAACGCAAGGACUUUGCCAAGGCAAAUUCCUGAAAAGAACAUGGUGCAACAGAAGCAGUUCACAGAGUCCUGUGAGUUUUGGUCAAUGAUUACAUCCUGUUGCAGUGUUAGCAAGGGUUGGCAACCAACCUGGAGAUAGAGAAAAGAAGUGACGAAAAUGUCAAGAUUCCUCAAGCAGAUAUGUCACGGAAUGAAUAAGAGUAGACUAGGACAUUGUGUUCGGCGAUAAAGGCCAGGAGGUUUGGCCAUCUCCGUACCAAAUUAUUAGUGUUAUUUGAAGACUCUCACUUUGCUGUGAAGUGUUGAAAACAAACCACAUUCCAGCAGAGCGUUGUUAGUCCUGACCUUUAUUCUGGAUGACCUAUGGACAGAAACAGCAUACUGUACUUUCUUGUCUUAUAUUUUAACACUUUGUGUUUUUCGAAUAAACAUUUAGGACACAUGGUAUGACAGUUGCAAGUGAGCAUUUGAGGAGACGAACUUUAUUUGAAUUUGCAGCUAUUCCAGAGAGAUUACAUGGUAAUCGUGUCCUUGUUUGGUUAUGGUUCUUGUAAGGUGUGACCUUACAGAGCUUUUCCAGAGAGAAUCAGAUCUGAGAGUAUGUUGAGCUAAACUGAAUUUUGCAACAUGCCUAAGAACACUCCUAAGGGCACUCCUGAGUUGAAUUUUUAACUUUCUUCACAUCAGGUGUGAGGAAGGCACACAGGAAUAGAAAAUGCACGUUCUCCAUGUUUUGCACAGGAAAUUUGCUUAACAGAAAUCUCGUGAGUCCAGCCCACUACGUGGUUCCCAAAGCACUUUCUCCCACUGGUGAGCCAAGAGGCUCUGCCCGCUUCUCUCAACCUCUUAUCAGAGAAACUGAUACUCUGACCCAAUUAUCAGGCUUUGACCUUUGGCACAUUUGUCCUGUUGUCCUUACAUGUAUAAGCACACUUGAAAAAUGGGCUAGGUAAGAAAGAAAAGAAAAAUUGGUAUCAAUGAACCAGCCAAAGGAAAAGGGGGAAAGGAACUACCAAGAAAUUGAAGGAGGCAGAUGGAAAUGGAUAACGUGGUAGGUGGGGGGAAGAGUUUUCCUGAAAAACAUGCUGUAUCAGAGGAUGACUAUGACCACCUCAAAGAAAGAAUUCUGAUAGAACUUCUCUCUUU